Long non-coding RNA from Pimephales promelas (fathead minnow), 355 nucleotides. RefSeq lists it as uncharacterized. Lineage: Eukaryota; Metazoa; Chordata; Actinopteri; Cypriniformes; Leuciscidae. The record is from RefSeq and is a predicted model, not a curated record.
UAACCAUUUGUGUAUGUGAUUGUAUGGAUUUUAAUAAAACAUCUAAUAAUAAGUCUCUUUUUUCAGAGUGAUGAGGUGGCAAGAUGCCAUAUUCCCAUGGCUAGCACACACACAUGCACAAAAUAGGUCAGCGAGACCACAGCACCACAUCAAUGGAUCUCGGAACACACUUUAGAGGAGAUUGCCUACAAAUGAACUGACAGAUUGAUGGAUGGAGGGACGGACAAACCAACGAUGCAGUGAACAUGGCCGGCAGCCCGUCACCUUUCUCAGCUCAUGGGCUGGCGAGUGUUUACACUACUAAAGGAAUGUGGAUGAAUCUCACAAAUGAUUUAACUCCUGAAAUAUCCUGUGA